GACGAACGCUGGCGGCGUGCUUAACACAUGCAAGUCGAACGGAAAGGCCCUGCUUUUGUGGGGUGCUCGAGUGGCGAACGGGUGAGUAACACGUGAGUAACCUGCCCUUGACUUUGGGAUAACUUCAGGAAACUGGGGCGAAUACCGGAUAGGAGCUCCUGCGGCAUGGUGGGGGUUGGAAAGUUUCGGCGGUUGGGGAUGGACUCGCGGCGUUUCAGCUUGUUGGUGGGGUAGUGGCUUACCAAGGCUUCGACGGGUGGCGGGCCUGAGAGGGUGAACGGCCACAUUGGGACUGAGAUACGGCCCAGACUCCUACGGGAGGCAGCAGUGGGGAAUAUUGCACAAUGGGCGGAAGCAUGAUGCAGGAACGCCGCGUGCGGGAUGACGGCCUUCGGGUUGUAAACCGCUUUCGCCUGUGACGAAGCGUGAGUGACGGUAAUGGGUAAAGAAGCACCGGCUAACUACGU
This 467-nucleotide ribosomal RNA is filed under the name uncultured bacterium. RNAcentral describes it as "partial 16S ribosomal RNA". It matches the Rfam family "Bacterial small subunit ribosomal RNA", at positions 28 to 506 of the family's 1533-position model. The record is from RNAcentral.